CCUACGAGAGGCAGCAGUGAGGAAUAUUGGUCAAUGGGCGCGAGCCUGAACCCGCCAAGUAGCGUGAAGGAUGACUGCCCUACGGGUUGUAAACUUCUUUUAUAAAGGCAUAAAGUGAGGCACGUGUGCCUUUUUGUAUGUCCUUUAUGAAUAAGGAUCGGCUAACUCCGUGCCAGCAGCCGCGGUAAUACGGAGGAUCCGAGCGUUAUCCGGAUUUAUUGUGUUUAAAGGGAGCGUAGAUGGGUUGUUAAGUCAGUUGUGAAAGUUUGCGGCUCAACCGUAAAAUUGCAAUUGAUAAUGGCAGUCUUGAGUACAGUUGAGGUAGGCGGAAUUCGUGGUGUAGCGGUGAAAUGCUUAGAUAUCACGAAGAACUCCGAUUGCGAAGGCAGCUUACUAAACUGCCACUGACAUUGAUGCUCGAAAGUGUGGGUAUCAAACAGGAUUAGAUACCCGAGUAGUC
RNAcentral lists this ribosomal RNA (460 nucleotides) under uncultured bacterium. RNAcentral's name for it is "partial 16S ribosomal RNA". It matches the Rfam family "Bacterial small subunit ribosomal RNA", at positions 338 to 795 of the family's 1533-position model. The record is from RNAcentral.